UGGGGGAUAUUGCACAAUGGGGGAAACCCGUGAUGCAGCGACGCCGCGUGAGGGAAGACGGUUUUCGGAUUGUAAACCUCUGUCUUUGGGGACGAACAAAUGACGGUACCCAAGGAGGAAGCCACGGCUAACUACGUGCC
Molecule: ribosomal RNA, 140 nt
Filed under: uncultured bacterium
Lineage: Bacteria
Description: partial 16S ribosomal RNA
Rfam family: Bacterial small subunit ribosomal RNA
Source: RNAcentral